Molecule: long non-coding RNA, 1912 nt
Filed under: Lepisosteus oculatus (spotted gar)
Lineage: Eukaryota; Metazoa; Chordata; Actinopteri; Semionotiformes; Lepisosteidae
Description: lncRNA (ENSLOCG00000022017.1)
Source: RNAcentral
AUGAAUCCAGUAAAGCUGAGAUUGAUAUGCAUGACACUUUUGUCUCUGUAUCUUUUAGGUUGGAGUCACAGAAGAGCUGUUUCAAUUAUAAUACCAAUUAUAUUACUUCUUGUUGCUGGAGCAAUAAUGGUGUAUCUGCUAAAAAAUGGUCAUCUAAGAAAGUUAUAUGAAACGAAAUGUCGUCACCAUCAUGAGCACCUUGAGCCAGCAGAUCACUUUUUGCCAGAAACUCCUGAUACCGACGCCCGCUCACCUGUUCAGGAGGACCUUCCACAGAGUCCACAGAUGACAGAAAACCACAGGCUUGUGGCUCAGGAGCAAGGCAAGGAUGCAAAUCUGUCUCAGCAGGUUUCACAGAACACUCAAUGUUGAAAAAAGAACAUCUGUAUGGAAUGACAUUGAAUCCCGAGAUGAGAGUGAAAUGCACCUUUUCAUCUGUGCUGUGUGUGGGAUGUAUUUGUGGACUGCACAAAUAUAUGGCUGAAGAUAAUCUAUCCUACCAUGCAAGGUGUACUGUAAGUCUGAAUCUCUGUUUUAGGGGAACAGGUUGCAAGCAUUAAUUGUAGUUUUGGGGGGAUAUCCUACAUUUUUAGGGUGGAUCAACAUUCAUUUUGAAAGUUCAAUGAAUGUCUGAGAGGAUGGAGGAAUAAAGACCCACAAAACCUAAUUUUACCUGUAGCAGUAUUUUGUAAAUGCCACAGAAAAUACUGUGUACCCUUGUAAAAGAAAAGAGUCUGAAGGCAUAUUGGCUUGUGUUUAGUUCUCAAGAUACCCUUCCUUUAUCUGUUCACAUUAGCCGUUUACACUACUGCUUGCAUGCUUGCAUGUAAUAUGGCAUAGACUUUUUUGUUCAGUGGCUAGUGGUUGUUGCAUAGAAAAUGAGUGAACACUAGCAGAAUAAGAAUCUCGUAAUAACUGAACCACAUUGCUGUGGCGUUGCAUCCGAAUUCAGUAAGACUCAUUUCAAGCUAGCAAGGCUUGGUGGAAUGUAAAACAUCGAACUGGGAAGAAUGUAACAAAAAAUUGUAAAAAACAAAUAAAAUGUUGUUGGAUGGCAACAUUAUGUAAUGUGUUUAAAGCUUUUGUAAUAGCUUUGACAUAAUCUAUCGGACUUGCUUUCCAGACCAAUCUGGGCAAAAAGAGAACCUGAUGUUUUUCACUAUGUGAAAGAAAAUUCUUCAGAUGUUCAGAGAUUUGAUGAUGGAUUGCUUCUGAGUUUUUUCUAAUUUUCAUUCCACACAAAAUGGACAGCCCCAAUUAUAGUAAUAUAACCUGUAAAAUACAUACAUAACUUGUUUGUAAUUGAACAGGAUCUAAGGCAAAAAUGACUUUUGUUGUAUACCUAUGAAUAAAUGUUUAAUGAUUUAUUAUUCAAACUAUCAAGUAAGCUGGGCAGCUGUCAGUUUUUUUUCUGAAAAAAUAAUUAAGUUUUUUAAGUGCUCAGCAUAAUUACAGCAUUAGAAGGUCUUUAUUGAUAAAGCAACUGGUCCAGCACAGUUCAUCUGUGCAUUUUCAGGUAGUAUCAUAACUGUGUAGGUAUACACUUUUGUUGUUAAAAUUCUAUAACUGUUUUUGUGAAGUUGAGCUGUCAGAAGUGCACAACAGCUUUCUAGACAUUACAAUAGUGAACUCAGUUAUUGCUUUCUCAACAGUGCAUCCUUUGCUAUGGAUUCCAAAUCUUUUUGAUACUGACAGGUAGAAGAAGAAAUUAAAUGUGUUGAAUUCUGUGGACACGGCACAUUACUUCACCCAAGUACAGUACUUACUUUCAAUGUAUUACUGUAUUACUUCUUUUGUACAGCUAUUAGUGUUUUGUCUCAUCUAUGAAACAUUAAACGUUUAAAUCUAUUUUGGAUUCAGUGAUUUUCUUAUUCAAAAUUCAUAGACAAUCAACUUUAACCUCCUUUAUUUU